GAUAUACAAUAUAUCAUUUUCUAUUUUUCAGAAGAUCAAAAGGAAUUUUCUAAUAGAAACCAUAUGUAUGAUAAGCAAUGAUGAUAGCCUUUAACAGAAAUCAUUUAAGUAGAUGACUAUCAUACAACAUUGUCUUUUUCAUUUCUUCAAGGAUUCUAUCAACCCUAUUUUAUUUAUGGUGUUCUUGGUGUAGAAACAAUUGUAUUCAAUAUUAUUUUCUGUGCACAACUUAAUAAGAAAUUGGUUUUCAAAACUAUGCCAUGAUACAAUUUUAUUUUCAUAGUUUACAAACCUUUUUCAUUUGAAACCUUUUGUAAGUUUGUGCCAAAGCAGAAAAUAUUUCAAUUUAA
Molecule: long non-coding RNA, 350 nt
Filed under: Phoenix dactylifera (date palm)
Lineage: Eukaryota; Viridiplantae; Streptophyta; Magnoliopsida; Arecales; Arecaceae
Description: long non-coding RNA (PDAC_LNC021829)
Source: RNAcentral